ACAUCCCCCUGCAAAUUCCAGCCCAGAGCCCACAGCUUCCGGAGGUUUUCUGUAAUUAACACCGCCCUUGCUCCCUUGGGGCAAUUACUGUAAUUUAGGUAUUCCCCGCAAUGGUGUGCUGAUUUCUGUUGAGAACACUCUGCCUGUUUUUCUCAACUCUGUUUUAAAGCUACGGAGAGAUCCGGAGUCCACGCCAGGCGACAAGAACGCGCUCUAAUAGAACGAGGGCCGUCUUUCUCCCCUGCUGCUCUGAGAGAUGUCAGUCUCGUCUCAACCUCACCAGCAAUUUCUAUCUUGAAUAAGCCAAGUCUCUCUCCCAGCCUGAGAGAAUGCUUGAAUUGUUGGCACUCUGUUCUUUGCUACCAAAUGGCUUGGAAAAAUAGCAUGAACGUCACCAGUCUCUGGCCUUCAGGAAAGUCCCUGCUAACCACCACAGCGGUGGAGAAGGCGUCUAACUUUCUCCAGGCUCAGCGUGUGAGUGAACACCGCCCUGACCUCCUGGGCGCGUCCUGAUGCUCUCAACAGCAGCCCUCAGGAUUCUGGACUGUGGGUCCCACAUUCUAGAUACCAUUUGUUGAACGGCUGGAUGAGGAAAUUGCAACAGCACCCUCAUUUCCAGUUGAGGGAAUGGGCGGGUUACCAGGAGGUUUGACACUCUUUAAGGGAGGUUAACAACUGACGCAAGAAGUAAGGAAUCGUGUUUGAGUGCACAGACUCUAGCAUAAACACACCUACCUUCAAUUUCUAGCUCUGUCACUGUCACUGUGACUUUAUUACCUCUGCAAUAGGACUGAAGCCAUCUAAUUUAUUGGAUUGUGAGGACUAAAAGAUAAUAUAUGUGGGCAUGUAGCACAGUGUCUGGCACAUAGUUCACCUUCCAUAACCAGUAGUAACCAGUAACUAACUCUAGGGCUGAGGGGAUGGGGGAAGGAAGCAGUUACUAAAACCAGGCGAGAGCGGUAGCUGUGGCUGUACGAGAGAGUAACCAACUGAAACUGUGUCGUUCAGCAGAGGAAAGCAAGCAAUGCCAACUUUUCACCAAGUAAGGUGAGAUUCUAUAGUUGUAGCCAAUGCUGAGACGUCAGCCCAAAGCAGGGACAGAGUGGUGAAGACCCACCUCUCUGUUCUCCCAGCUCUGAUAUCCAGCUGGGGUCUUCCACUGGCUGGAUCCACCAGGAAGCCAGAAGACAAUGGAGCUAGGUCUGUGUAGUCUGUAGAGGUCAGCCUCUUAGGCACAAUGCCUGGAGGGAUAAAUAGAAAAUAUCCAGCACACCGUUUUUUUUUGUUUUGUUUUGUUUUUUAUUAUACUUUAAGUUCUAGGGUACAUGUGCACAACGUGCAGGUUUGUUACAUAUGUAUACAUGUGCCAUGUUGGUGUGCUGCACCCAUUAACUCGUCAUUUACACUAAGUAUGUCUCCUAAUGCUAUCCCUCCCCCCUCCCCCCAUCCCACAACAGGCCCCAGUGUGUGAUGUCCCCCUUCCUGUGUCCAAGUGUUCUCAUUGUUCAGUUCCCACCUAUGAGUGAGAACAUGCGAUGUCUGGUUUUUUGUCCUUGCAAUAGUUUGCUGAGAAUGAUGGUUUCUAGCUUCAUCCAUGUCCCUACAAAGGACAUGAACUCAUCAUUUUUUAUGGCUGCAUAGUAUUCCAGCACACCAUUUCUACAACCUUGGGUUUAUUGUGUUUGGAAGCCUAGAUCCAAAGGAAGGAAUGCUUCCACUAGAAGACCCAGUCACUGAAUUGAAUUGAAUUUCAAUUCAUUGAUUCGAAAGCUGAAACUGCCCUCUGGUCCUUUUGAUUCGUCACAGUGAUAGAAUGGUAUGAUUGAUCCCAAAUACCAAAAGGAAAUUGGGUUACAUCUAUAUAUUGAGGGCAAGAAGAACUAUGCAUGACACCUGGAGAUUCACUGGGCACUUCUUAAUACUGCCGUGUGCCAUAAUAAUGAUUAUCAGAUAACUGAAAUAAUGCAGAAAUUUCAGAUCAUGGAGAAAUGAAAGUAUUGAAGCAUACCAGAUAAAAAAUCCUGAUCUACCUAGGUGUUGGCAUAGGGCAGGGGAAACGUAAGUAAAUGAGUAGGAAGAUAUGAUUAUUAAUUUUAGCCUUGUAACAAGCUCUAGCUAGAGGCAGGGAUUAUAGUAGCUCUCCACUUAAAAUGUUAAUUACUUCUUCCCUGACUCUCUUUUCCUAUUACCCUGCAUAAAGAGUACUGGUGGAGAUAAAUAUUACAAUUUAAUUUCUAGGUGAGAAUGUACCUGAACUGACAUCCCCUCAAGGCAAUAUGGCAGCUGAUUGGGCUUGUUAAAGAAAAUCAAACCUGGACAAUAGUUGUAGCAGUAAAAAUAGAUUUUUAUUCAGCAACUUUUGAAAUAGGGGGAAAGAGACCUUGGUAAAGAACUGGGCUCAAUUCUGAAUACAGUAAGGAUAAGUGGGGAUUUAUAGCCGAGGAGCAGGUUGUGUGGAUGGGGGUGGGGUCUGUGGAUGGAAAAUUACUAAGAAGAGACAUCAAGGGUAGGGGAAAUCCUUGCUAAACUGACCUAACAGGAUUCUUGCUAAAGGUAGGCCAGGGUAAGCAGACAUCACCUGGGGGCUGGUGGGGGUAAGGAAUUUGAUCAGAUAUUGAGAGUGGUCAAAUAUUCAGGGUGGGAAGAUCCUCUCUAAACUGACUUAGCAGGAUUCUUGCUAACACUGACUCUGUAAGGAUGAACACUGCAUCCCAAGGUCAAGAUCUAAUCAAGGAGAUGGCUUAGAGGAGCCUGACUAAAGUUUGGUCGAGGAGAAAUCUUGUCAGAUUCUGUUAUUCUCAUAUGUAAGGGAUGAGCUGCUCUUCAUCUGAGCAAAGGAAAAGAAUAAAUUCUGGGUGACAAAACAAUUAGACUGUCUAGGUUUUCUGUUUGCCUUCCAUCAUAUUCAUUCUCCUCACUUCCCUGCCCUGUUCUAUACCCCAAAGCUGACCUCUUUGGACAGCACCACCUGGGCUCUCCUCAACUGGUUUCCAUUUGAGUCUGGACAGCGGGAGGCAUUCAGGGAGAUGGGAAGCAGGAGGAAAAAGACAUCAGGGUAUAUUUUCUCUGUUCUUUCUCUGUUUGGGGCUGAGUAUCUGGUGGUGGUUGUGUUUCUCCACAACUGCAGCUCUUGGCAAGUGGUCCCUUCUCCAUGGCUCCAGCUCCAUGGGCUCUGGAAACACUUUUCUCCUUUGCUGUGUAGUCUAAAGAGAGUUCAGUCUUCCUGCUGUUGCUAGACUCUGGAUGCCUCAACCGGAUGGUUCUUAGUCAUACUCCUUUAGGUAGUGUCUUCACUAAUAUCUCUUUAAUCAAACCAACUGAGUAAAAUUCUGAUUCCUUAUGGAUACACCUUAAACUGAAAACACACAUUAUAAAUAUUCUUGUAUGUAUGAUGUUGUUCAUAAUUUUAAAAAUAAGUGAAAAAAGUGACCAUAGAAAAAUAUGCCCCGGAAAUUGAAAAAAAAGUCUUGGUAUAGAUAUUGGACACAUUUUAUAAAAUGUGGAGUAAGAGGGUUAAAGGAAAUUUAUUUCAGAAUCAAAUGGCUUAUAACUUUAACUGGUAUGUGAAUUAUUUUCAGUUGUAUGAAUUUGUGAAUAUAUAUGUGUAUAUUUUUAUGCAUAUAUAUAAAUGUGUUUUAUAUCAUCUUGCAUUGUAGCAUAAGGAUUUUUAUCUUGCUACAUUGCAUUUAUAUUUACCAUUUUUAACAGCUAAAGGAUUUUCAAUAAGUGUGUAUGUAACAACUUCCAUUGCUGGAUAUUUCUCAGUAUGUAUAUAUAUGUAUAUAUACAUAUGUGUGUAUAUGUAUAUGUACAUACGUGUGUGUAUAUGUAUAUUUACAUAUGUGUAUAUAUACAUAUGUAUGUGUAUGUAUAUGUAUACAUAUGUAUGUGUAUAUAUACAUACCUGUGUGUAUAUGUAUAUAUACAUGCAUGUGUGUAUACGUAUAUAUACAUACAUGUGUAUAUGUAUACAUAUGUGUAUAUAUACGUAUGUAUAUAUAAACACAUACAUAUAUCUAUAUAUGCACAUGCAUAUGUACACACUGAGUUAAGUAGUACAAAUAUUUUAGAGAAAAUUGAUGUAAAAUCCUCAACUCAUUUGAUGCUCCCUAUCCCAGGACAGUAAAAAUUGCUCCAUAUUUCCUUAGACCUCCAUAAAAAAGCAGUUUUUCAAAAAAUAAAGUGUUUGGAAGUUUAAGAUGUGCGUAGCAGUAUCUCCUUUUAACAGAGAUGCUUUCACAAGGGUUUGAAUUUCCCCAUUGAUCUGGGAACCAGGUUUAGCCAAGAACUUCAGUCUGUGAAGGACUGCAAAUAGUUGCACAGUGUGGGGCUGCAGCUAGAACCUCCUUAAUAUUAAACAAUUCUGGGAUGGUGCUCCCCAAAUUCUGGAUUUUAACCUUCACUCCAAUCCUGGGGCACCUCUGUAGCUUGGGCAUGACCUGGACACAAGCUUUGUAUAAGCCUUCUUUGGACUUCAUCUAUUCCUCAACGGUGACACCAUGUGGCAGUGUAAUAUAAUGGCAUCAGUGGACUCAUCCCGUUCUCUCCCUACCUAGAGAUUUUUAAAAUUGAGAUAUAUAAUUCACAACCAUAAUAUGUACCACCUUAAAAUGUACAAUUUAAUGGUUUUUCAUACAUUCAAAAAGUUGUACAACAAUCACCACUAUCUAAUUCCAUAACAUUUUCUUCACCCUAGAAAGAAACCUCAUACCUAUUAGCAGCCACUCCCCAUUCUCCCCUUUCCCCCAGUUUCUGGGGACCCCUAACCUACUUUUUGUUUUUAUAGAUUUGCCUAUUCUGGACAUUUUAUAUAAAUGGAAGCCUACAAUCUAUGGCCUUUUGUGUCUGGCUCCUUUUACUUAGUAUGAUCAAGGUUCAUCCAAGUUGUAACAUGUACCAGUACUUCAUUUCUUUUUAUGUCUGAUUAAUGUUCCAAUGUAUGGAUAUACCACAUUCUGUUUAUCCAUUCAAAAUUGUGGGGCAUUUGGAUUGUUCCUAUUUGUUUGCUGUUAUAAAUAAUGCUGCUAAGUUUUUGUAUGA
Molecule: long non-coding RNA, 5040 nt
Organism: Symphalangus syndactylus (siamang)
Lineage: Eukaryota; Metazoa; Chordata; Mammalia; Primates; Hylobatidae
Source: RefSeq, a predicted model, not a curated record